UCACCAGACUGGCUUCAAACAGGUCUCUGAGUAGUGGCUCCUUGUUGCCGUGGCCAGUGUGAUGACAGCUCUUCCGAUAUGUUUUCGGAAGAGCCACACUUGCCCACUCUAUAUCAUAUCCAUCGUGUCACACAGGACAACAGAGACGUGGACCACCGACUUGGCCUGUGACGGCAGUAGGAACUGCAACAAAUGGAUGACAAAAACAUAAACAUCCUUUCAUAAUUUUGAUAAAUACCAAAAUAAAGAACAGCCUAGAGCUAUGUCAGAGAAUCUGGCGAGGUUGUACACAUGAGUGAGAUUACCUGGUCUUGGUGUUCCAGGUUUAGUUCUUCUUCCAGUGGAGAAAAGAAAACGCAAAGCACUAGAUUGAAAUUUGUCUAAAAACAGGUGUUGUGAUGGGUGUCAAUGGGACUAAAAUGGUCCUAGGGUCUCCGUGCAGGGUCAGUGAGAAACAUGUCAUUUGGAAAGAUCAACAUGUCAGAAGUGACUGAACAUUUAAAUCGUAGAAUCUCUGGCUUCUGGGGGGGAAAUAAAAGACUAAAAGGACCAUUUCUGAUCAGACACCUCCAAGGUGAAACCGAAAAUCAGAGACAUGUCCUCAACUGCAGCAAAGAUGUGUCUCUUGAGUUAAUCAUUAGAUGUUGGAGCAGUAUCACUUCAUAGUUUAUAUCAGUCACUAUAACAGUGUCAAAGUGCGUUUAUUAGCACCGUGUUUGGAGACUUCUGGUCAGAACAAGGUGAACAAGGCUUGAGGAUGGACCACAGACUAUAGGAGAGAGACGUGCUGCUCUCAGGUCAGUGACUCUCACUCUCCACACAGUGAGCAGCCAGUUGUUGAGGUGCUAGUAUGAAUCAAAUGUAACUGCAAGAUCCAUGUUGAUGUGCAAAGAUCUUUUUUAAAGACACUUUUGGUGUGUUCUUUUGUAAUGAUCACUAUAAUCACAGUAAUAAUUCGAAUAAUAGUACCAGUGCAAAAUAUUUAAAUGUUGGCCAUCAGGUGCAGAUGGGGCACUACAUCAGUUGCUUGAAAAGUUCUCUUGGGUUUGUGUAUUUCUGAAUCAUCCGACGAACAGAAGAGUCACACUUUUUAAAUAACUGCAGCCAAAUAAAGACUGAGAGAUCCAUAUCCCCAUGUCCAACAGCCUGACUUCCACGCUACUAUUACAGUGUGUGUGUGAGUGUCUCGGUUGUAAAAGUACUUUGGACCAGCAGAUGAACAGAUAGGAUCCACCUUUGAUUUGUGGGCAUUAUACUUACUUACUGAUGUUGAUGAUCAUGCCACAGACACACAUGCUUCACAUGAUGGUCUCAGGAAAGAGCUGCAUUGUUUUCAACCGUUUCAUUAUAUGAAAUGAUUUGGGGAAGAGAGUGGAAAAGAAAAUGGCUGAAUUCUUAAAAAUUUUUUUUGUACUGAUUCUCAUGAGCCAUGUUUGUGUGAAGGUGAAGACUUUGCUGACACUCACUGUGAGGACAGAGUCCCCCUUAAAUGUCUUCAAGAUGAGGACCAUGAUGAGCAGACCAGAGUGCCGAGGUAAGAGAAGGUCCUUCAAGAUUUUCCUCUGAUUCUGAUUUUCCCUCUAUCUUCACUCUCACCAAAACAUCCAUGUCCAAGAUCAAAGGAGCAGCCAAACCCUGCCGGACCUGGACCACGAUCUGGACCAGUACCCAGACGUGUCUCUCUCAAGAGUGAUAACUCGAAGGGGAUAGGCAUUGACUUCAGAGGAGGAGCAGAGCUUUCGGGUUCAGGGAUUCGUCAAGAGGAACCAGAAGAGUUUAGACUCUGCGGUGACUCUCCGAAGUCUCUGUGUGACCACUCUGUAUGGUGUUCCAUGGAGGUCCAAGCUGGACUGAAGUCAUCAUGGGACAGAGAGGAUCAUCAGAGCACAGGACCUCACAGUAGCCUGGUGCAUCUCUCACAUGUGGACUCCGCACGGCUGGUAUGUACAUGUACAAGCAGAGGUCGUCAUCUGAGAGGUUCCUUCUGUUCAUUCUCACUUCAGAUCCAAGUUCAAAGUUUCUGCUCUUUUUGGUUCUGGAGAUGUUCCACUAUCAC
This is a long non-coding RNA of Synchiropus splendidus (mandarinfish), 2056 nucleotides long. RefSeq lists it as uncharacterized. The record is from RefSeq and is a predicted model, not a curated record. The transcript is spliced from 3 exons. NCBI's taxonomy places the organism in Eukaryota, Metazoa, Chordata, Actinopteri, Syngnathiformes, Callionymidae.